Molecule: non-coding RNA, 926 nt
Organism: Pseudonaja textilis
Lineage: Eukaryota; Metazoa; Chordata; Lepidosauria; Squamata; Elapidae
Source: RefSeq, a predicted model, not a curated record
CAUCCUAGCAACCCGGAGAACACCACCCCAAAAACACAUCUAAGUACAUUCGCACUUCUCCCCGUUUCCAAAAUACCCCGCCGCUUCUUAGAUCCAAAAACUGAGUUAGCAAUAUGUCUGUGUGGUUUUUUUUUUAAGCACAAAACCAUGAGAUGCAGUUUUAUGGCAGCAGUAGAAUGCGAAUAACAAAACGUCAGCACCUUUGCAAUGCCUGCGUCUUUUCUCUUGGGAAGCUUCCUUAGACUCUUUCAAAAAAGAAGGGGGAGAGGAGGCGUUCCUCGAUUUGGAGAAAGUAAAGACCCCCGUGGCGUGGAGUAUGACGCGGGUGUGUGUAUUAUAGAACAGAUGAAUAGCAAGGCAGCUUGAUCUACUACCUCCAACUCCCGAUAUUACUCGAGGACUUCCAAGGCUUCCAUGGCCAGGCGCAGAUGCUCUUUCAAAUGUUUAAUCUCUCGUUCUGACCGUUGCUUGAUGUGAUUCAGCUCCAGAAAUCUACCUUCUGCAUCAUUUGGAGUUCAUCCCUCAGACACUGGACUUCUUGUUUCUGAUACUGGAGUUCAUUCUCCUUCACUCGAAGAAGCACCUUCAGAAGAAAGAUGGAAAGGGAAAUGUUCAGGACACAACUGUCCACUAUCAAAACCACUUUCAAUGUGGUAAGACGGCUCACAAGAACUCUUCUCAUUGUGUGAAGCAUUGUCACGUGCGCCCCGAGCAGCAAUGAAGUCUCGUAACUGGCCAAUCUCUUCUGAAAGACGCUUCUGCAACUCCUGGAAGAAUGAGGAUGGAAUAGUUUAACAUAUUCAUCAAAUAUAACAGAAUUCCUGCUAUUGGCAGCACUACCAGCCCUUGCCUGGUUUUGCCGAAGCAGCUCUUUCCCCUCCUGUUGACAACGCUGCAGCAUUUGUUCCUGUUCUUCUGCCUUCUGC